This is a long non-coding RNA of Eriocheir sinensis (Chinese mitten crab), 941 nucleotides long. RefSeq lists it as uncharacterized. The record is from RefSeq and is a predicted model, not a curated record. Lineage: Eukaryota; Metazoa; Arthropoda; Malacostraca; Decapoda; Varunidae. The transcript has 4 exons.
CUCCACCCAGACCAAGCGUAAUGCAGGACGCCACAGCACAGAUGGCCGUGCUUCAGUUCAUUAGCUCUGGACUGCCCAGGGUCACCGUACCAUCAACCAUCCACUGUGACCAUCUUAUUCAAGUACAGAUCGAUGGCCCUCAGGAUCUCCAGCGAGCCAUUGAAAUCAGCAAAGAGGUCUACAAUUUCCCGGCUACUGCUGGGGCCAAGUAUGGAGUUGGAUUCUGGAAGCCUGGCUCUGGGAUUAUUCAUCAGAUCAUUUUGGAGAACUACGCUUUCCCCGGGCACUGAUUCUCACACGCCCAACGUAGGUGGUCUUGGAGGCCUGUGCAUUGGUGUGGGUGGUGCCGAUGCUGUUGAUGUUAUGGCCGACAUUUCCUGGGAGCUGAAGUGCCCUAAGUUUGUCCUCCCACAGGCCCCGUCUAUGAGGCUAGUGAAGCAGCCUCUUGUGAAUCGGCUGCUUUCUUGAAACAUGAGUCAGUGAUCAACCUCUGCCACACAAUGAUCUUGAAAACAUUUCCCCCUAUGUUUAUAAAAGGUCCUGGCUACUGGACCUGUUCACUUGCCUCCCCCAUCACUCUGACACUCACAUGCCAUAACCUGUAAACAGACAUACUGUCUGCUUGACGGGUAGUGGUAUAUUGAUGCUUCAGCAAGGUUCUCUUCGCAGUGCUGAGUCCAUCCCCCUACAGGAGCUAACAGCUGGCUUGCAGCCCCUAAAUUAUGUGGUCGAGCCGGAUCAGCCCUUUCAACCCGCAAUCCAUUGGUGGAUUGUCUUCGCCAUUGUCGUGAUCCUGGUUCUUCUGCUGGUGACGUCUGCCGUGGGGUAUUCCUAUGUCCUACGCUACGCACGACGCCGCCUAAUUCCAGACUCGAACCAACUGCAGACAUUGCAAGGCGUAUCUUCUCCACCAACACCUGUGAGAUCUCAGGGGCGAGAUC